Molecule: transfer RNA, 74 nt
Filed under: Rubrobacter sp.
Lineage: Bacteria; Bacillati; Actinomycetota; Rubrobacteria; Rubrobacterales; Rubrobacteraceae
Description: tRNA-Met
Rfam family: tRNA
About the family: Transfer RNA (tRNA) molecules are approximately 80 nucleotides in length.
Source: RNAcentral
CGCGGGGUGGAGCAAUCUGGUAGCUCGUCGGGCUCAUAACCCGAAGGUCGUAGGUUCAAAUCCUAUCCCCGCUA